GGAACAUAUGUAUGCCUCCUGCACUCAGACGUCUGCUUGGGAGACCUCUUGAGAGGGGUGAAACCAUCCCGGUAAUGAGUGAAAACUCAGAAUUGACUGAAUAUCUCUCCAAAAGAGACUGUUUGAAACCAGAAGAGAAUGGGCUAUAUUCUAUUGGCAAGCUCAAGCAUUAUUUUCUGCUAUUUAUAGAAAUAAUACCUAAAAGACAAGACAAAGUCAGUUAUCACAGCUCCAGGCAUUGUGGCUUCAUGCAACUAUGACCAAAGCAGGAAGAAAAGGAAUGGCAGAGACUUCUCAGAAGCUCUCCAACAGACUUCUCUUUGAAUCUCAUUGGCCAGAACUGGAGCACAAACCCAUUCCUAAACCAACUUAUGGCAAAAAGAGGGUUGUCAAGAUUGUCCUAGACCAGUUGUAAUUGGUACCUUUGAUCAAGUGGGACUCAUGGAGUAUAGUUAUAAAACAAUUUCAUUUUUGUCUCCU
Molecule: long non-coding RNA, 480 nt
Organism: Homo sapiens (human)
Lineage: Eukaryota; Metazoa; Chordata; Mammalia; Primates; Hominidae
Source: Ensembl